AUGGGCGAGAGCCUGAACCAGCCAAGUAGCGUGCAGGAUGACGGCCCUAUGGGUUGUAAACUGCUUUUUAAGGGGAAUAAAGAGUGGCACGUGUGCCCUGUUGCAUGUACCCUUGGAAUAAGGACCGGCUAAUUCCGUGCCAGCAGCCGCGGUAAUACGGAAGGUCCGGGUGUUAUCCGGAUUUAUUGGGUUUAAAGGGAGCGUAAGCCGCAGGUUAAGUGUGUUGUGAAAAGCAGUCGCCCAACGUCUGCCUUGCAGCGCAAACUGUCCUGCUUGAGUGCGCACAACGCAGGCGGAAUUCGUCGUGUAGCGGUGAAAUGCUUAGAUAUGACGAAGAACUCCGAUUGCGAAGGCAGCUUGCGGGAGCGCAACUGACGCUGAAGCUCGAAAGUGCGGGUAUCGAACAGGAUUAGAUACCCUGGUAGUCCGCACGGUAAACGCUGGAUGCCCGUUUUUGGCUUAUUUUAAGUCAGAGACCAAGCGAAAGCAUUAAGCAUCCCACCUGGGGAGUACGCCGGCAACGGUGAAACUCAAAGGAAUUGACGGGGGCCCGCACAAGCGGAGGAACAUGUGGUUUAAUUCGAUGAUACGCGAGGAACCUUACCCGGGCUUGAAUUGCCAGAGACAGCUCCAGAGAUGGAGCCUCCCUUCGGGGCUCUGGUGAAGGUGCUGCAUGGUUGUCGUCAGCUCGUGCCGUGAGGUGUCGGCUUAA
Molecule: ribosomal RNA, 712 nt
Filed under: Prevotella sp. oral taxon 292
Lineage: Bacteria; Pseudomonadati; Bacteroidota; Bacteroidia; Bacteroidales; Prevotellaceae
Description: bacterial SSU rRNA
Rfam family: Bacterial small subunit ribosomal RNA
Source: RNAcentral